UCCCUACGGGAGGCAGCAGUGAGGAAUAUUGGUCAAUGGGCUAAGGCCUGAACCAGCCAAGUCGCGUGAGGGAAGACGGUCCUAUGGAUUGUAAACCUCUUUUGUCGGGGAGCAACGAGGCCACGUGUGGCCGAAGUGAGAGUACCCGAAGAAAAAGCAUCGGCUAACUCCGUGCCAGCAGCCGCGGUAAUACGGAGGAUGCGAGCGUUAUCCGGAUUUAUUGGGUUUAAAGGGUGCGUAGGCGGAUUGAUAAGUUAGAGGUGAAAUGU
This 269-nucleotide ribosomal RNA is filed under the name uncultured bacterium. RNAcentral's name for it is "partial 16S ribosomal RNA". It matches the Rfam family "Bacterial small subunit ribosomal RNA", at positions 335 to 602 of the family's 1533-position model. The record is from RNAcentral.